Long non-coding RNA from Gasterosteus aculeatus aculeatus (three-spined stickleback), 803 nucleotides. Lineage: Eukaryota; Metazoa; Chordata; Actinopteri; Perciformes; Gasterosteidae. The record is from Ensembl.
CGUGCCUAAACCCUGAGCCAGGAACAAACAAGGUCCAACAUCUACAAUUCAAACCAUCAAACACGUGCAACAAGACCGAAAUAGAUUCCCCUUUAACUGACCGCAUCGGGAAAGUAAGAAAGAAAGAAUGAUACGUCUGACACCGGAUGCGCCCCGGAGGCGCGUUUGAACCUCGAGGAACAGGCGCUUGUGCUGCGGAGCCCCAUCGAGGUGCUAUUGGAGCGGGGCCCCUCUCUCUAUUCAGCCUGAGAGCUACAGGGAGAGCGCUGCCGCGGAAGGGGGGGGGGGGACGUGUAAUCACCCAAACAGCCCUUUUUAACCCCCCCACCACCCUCCCCUCCCACCUCCCACGACACUGCUGGAUCUGUGCCGCAAGUCUGCCGCGAGGCUGUCCGUCUUUCACUGCGGAUACCGCGAGGGGAGGCCGAGGAAGACACCGAGAGUUUCAGAUGAUGUCCAGUAGACCACGGCUGCUCCAGCCAAUAAACAAGACUGAUGAGGUUGAUGAUGACUGAGUGACGCUGCAUUCUGGGAACCCACAACUGUGCUCGUGAAUCCAUGGCGAUUGGGCUCUACACUGGUCUACUGUCCAGCCAUCACAGGGUAGGAGGUUGUUCCUGCAUCACGAUAGCCAGCUGCUGGGCUACAAUAUAAUACUUUCAUGUAGGGGGGGGUAAAAUUAAGACACCUGGGGAAAGAUAGUAAUGAAUUAGGAGAAAAUAAUAGAAUAAAAAGAGGAAGAGAAGGAAAAACCUCUUUGUUGAGUCAAAAUUUCCCACGCUCUUUAGACGUUAAUGUGCUGU